UAGGGAAUAUUGCUUAAUGGGCGAAAGCCUGAAGCAGCAACGCCGCGUGCGCGAUGAAGGCCUUCGGGUUGUAAAGCGCUUUUGGUGGGAAGAGGGAGGGCGGUAACAGCGGGAUAAGGCCCGGCCGACCAACUGGCAGCAGGCGCGGUAAAACGUAGGAGGCGAGCGGUAUUCGGAUUUUCCGGGGUGUAAAGCGCGUGCAGGCGGUUUGCUAAGUUGGGUGUGAAAGCUCCUGGCUCAACUGGGAGAGGUCGCUCAAGACUGGCAGACUGGAGAGCAGUAGGGGAAGGUGGAAUUCCGGGUGUAGUGGUGAAAUGCGUAGAUAUCCGGAGGAACACCAGUGGCGAAAGCGGCCUUCUAGACUGCAUCUGACGCUCAGACGCGAAAGCUAGGGUAGCAAACGG
This 404-nucleotide ribosomal RNA is filed under the name uncultured bacterium. RNAcentral's name for it is "bacterial SSU rRNA". It matches the Rfam family "Bacterial small subunit ribosomal RNA", at positions 355 to 775 of the family's 1533-position model. The record is from RNAcentral.